UCAGGCAAUGAAUGUUUGAAAUCACUGAAAAAAGAACAUAUUUUGAACUGGAUUAAAAUAGAAUAUAUUGCAGAAAAUCUUUCUGCGUGGUUCUUUAUUACAUUGUAUAAUUUCAUUAUUGUUCAACAUUGACAUGAAUCUUUAUCUAAAAAAGUUGAAUAAAGAAAGUGGCAGCAGAUUAAAGGACAAGGCACAGAAUGCUGAAAGCUAAAGAAAGAAUUAGCAUUAUAUAUAUAUAUAUAUAUUAU
RNAcentral lists this unclassified non-coding RNA (248 nucleotides) under Hevea brasiliensis (rubber tree). Lineage: Eukaryota; Viridiplantae; Streptophyta; Magnoliopsida; Malpighiales; Euphorbiaceae. The record is from RNAcentral.